RNAcentral lists this transfer RNA (74 nucleotides) under Aerococcaceae bacterium DSM 111176. Its description in RNAcentral is "tRNA-Arg". It matches the Rfam family "tRNA". Rfam says of the family: Transfer RNA (tRNA) molecules are approximately 80 nucleotides in length. Their secondary structure includes four short double-helical elements and three loops (D, anti-codon, and T loops). RNAcentral also lists the same sequence under 1 other name. The record is from RNAcentral. Lineage: Bacteria; Bacillati; Bacillota; Bacilli; Lactobacillales; Aerococcaceae.
GCACCAGUAGCUCAGCUGGAUAGAGCAUUCGCCUUCUAAGCGAACGGUCGCAGGUUCGAAUCCUGCCUGGUGUG